AAGUGAAAAACCCUGAAUCUGAACUAUGAUUCAUCCCAAAUCCCCAAUCAAACAAAUCAUUCACAAGAACAGUUCUAGAUUGCCUACAGUCACCUUUCAUACAGAUGACUCUACACUCAUUAUUCUAAGGAUUACAUUCUUUUUUCUUCUUCUUAUAUUUUAUUAAUUUUAUAAACUUAAAAAAAAUUAUGAUAGAGAACUAGCAGUGAUCAAUCUUCGCUUAUCUCUGAGUGCAAAAUUCGCAUCCCACAAAGACUAUUUGGAACAGAGAAUUAACUAUCUCGUUUCAGUCCAACGACCAUUCGACAAAGCUGCCACUACCCCCUCUCUCUCUCUUCGCCAGUUAUUCACACUCACAGUGAUCGCAGAAGAAUAGAGAAUUUUACGAAACUAUCUCAAUAGAAUGCUGGAAUGCGUUUCUUUCAAAUCGUCGACUCCUACCACCAACUCUUCUCCACUUCCUCCCCCUUCCCACUCUCAUUCCGAAGGGAACUCGGCGGAGGAAUUCGAAGAAGACACUUCUGCCACAAGCCCAAACGUCUCGGGCGAGUUCCACCGCGCUUUGGAGGCCCACUCCUACAACGAGAUCCGGUCCAUGGUCCAGGCCCCACCGCAGGUCCACCACAUCGACGACGAGGACUCGCACCACCGCCACGUCCUCUCCCAGGUCCUCCAACCCGACUCUCACAGCGUCCACGAAGCCCUCGCGAAAGCAAAACCUAAGAGCAACCUCACGCGCCUCGUCUCCACCUACUUCUACCACAGCGAAACCGCCUCCGACUUCUGCCUCCGCCUCAGCCGCAGCGUCCACCGCGCCCGCCACCUCUACGCGCCGCUCUCUGACCUCCUCGCCGUCCUCCCCGCCUCCGCACCGCCGCUCUCCCAACCGCAAUGCGACCGCGCCUACGAGCUCUUCCUCCAAUUUGACCGCGAAGAGAAUCCUUUCGCGCUCUCCCGCCUCCACCGCCUCCGCGACGACUUCUCCGACCUCAAGCGCGACAUCCAGCGCGACCUCCGCAAGUGCCACUCGCGAAUCCGCCUCUUCCGCCACAGCGCCGCGGGCUGCGCCCUCUGCUUCGUUGCCGUCGCUGCCGGCACCGUUGUCGUUGCCUCCAUCGUCUUCGUACAUGCUCUAGUAGGGUUCAGCGCCCUCUCCGCGGCGCCGUUUUGUGUUACGCGGCAGAAGAGGAGGGAGCUUGCGAGGCUGAAGCAGCUUGAGGCUGUGGAGAAUGGGACUCUUGUGGUGAAUGACAUUAACACCAUUGAUAGCCUCGUUGAUCGGCUUCAAACCGCAGUAGAAGGGGAUAAGGCUUUUGUUAGGUUUGCAUUGGAUAGGGGAAGGGAGAGACAUCCCAUUCAGGAAGUGCUUAACCAGCUUAGAAAGAACCAACCUGUUUUGGAGCAUUUGCUUGGGGAUCUUGAGCAACAUAUAUACUUCUGCUUUUAUAGUGUUAACAUGGCCAGAUAUGCACUCCUCAAAGCGAUAUGCAGUCAUCAAACUCCCUAGUUAGGUCCUUUCAAGGUUUUCAAUUGCGGUCAUGCUGUCCUUGAUACUGCAAAAAAUUGCAAACUGAGACCACAGAGACUCCAAAAACCUUGACACUGCAGUCAAAAAAUUGUGCUAACAGCAGCAGAGUCUGGAUUCUGGAAGCAUAGGUUUCACCAUUAUACAUCACCAUUUCCUCUCUCCCAUGGCGGAAAGGCUAAUAUCUACACAACCAUAUGUUAUCAACUCCCAUUGCCAACCAUAGUCUGCAUAUUCUUCUUUAAAAGUUCUAGUUUCUCCUAAUUAUUCUGGUAUUCAAGUUCUAAAGAUGUCCAGCAUGUGUCUGAAACCUAAGUCUGCAAUAUAUCACCAAGUGACAAAUGUAGUAUGGCUUGCUGGACGUGGCAUAUUAGUAGCCAGGGAAUCAACUCCCUCUGUUCCACAUGUUUUCCUUGCUAAUACUUGACAUGAAGUCCAUUCACCUCCCUGGCAAGGUCCAAGACUUGUAGUUUAAGCAAAUGUGGUGGACUGGUGGACUGGUUGGAUUUCUUGAAAGUUUCUCCUCUCCCCCCUUUGGUUCCGCAAAUGCUUGGACCUCUGAGGUUUUAUUCUGCCACAACAGGUUUGUGCCUUUUCUUCCUUAUGUCUUCUUCAUCUUCCUUGUUUUCUGGGGCGGUGCAUCUCUAAAACAAGUCCUAUUGGAUGGUGCAGAGAGUGUUUUCCUCUUCCAUCCUCACCUUCAGCCUUGGGUCAAAUGUCUUUGUUUCCUAUGCCUGGAUAACUUCUCUUGUAUCUGUCUGUAGCCUCCAAGCUGCCAGUGCUUUGCUCAUCCUGAGAGCCAAUGGGUCAAAGAUCGUUUUGCCGUGGUUCUGCUUCUUGAUCGCUAGACCUUCAUCUUCCCCUUUAUUUUCUUGCACCCAAGAACAAGAACUUUCAUCUUCUCCUCUGUUCUCUUGCACCCAAUCUGUUUCUCAUCCCAAAACAGAUGUCAAUAGUUCUAGAUCAUAUUCCAGAUGGAACCGUUUGAGCUGUGUUCUCAAAGGUCCACCAAGUCUCUUUCUAAUUGCUCCAUUUCCACUCUAGCCACAACUUGAGAGUGCCUCCUCCUAGAGCCUUCACAACCUUUGAUAGCCCCUCUUCGAUGGGUGUUCCCAAGGCACCGGAAUACCACCUAAUGCUAAUCAUUGUAUACUAUUGUAUAUUCACAAAAUUAUGCAUGUUUAAAAAUUAUCUUUAAAAUAUUUCGUAA
RNA transcript from Glycine soja, 2735 nucleotides. It is a transcript of the gene named UPF0496 protein At3g19330-like, with no coding region annotated. NCBI's taxonomy places the organism in Eukaryota, Viridiplantae, Streptophyta, Magnoliopsida, Fabales, Fabaceae. The record is from RefSeq and is a predicted model, not a curated record. The transcript is spliced from 3 exons.